AUGGCUCCGACGUGGCUCCCCGCGGUGCUGGUCACGGCGCUGGUCGGAGGUACCUUUGGGGCCGACUCCGUGAACCAAACUGAAGGCAGCGUCGUCAUCUCCCAAGGGGACCCGCUGCGGCUAAAUUGCACCUACCAAUUCUCUUUUCUCACUUCUUCUCCCAAUCUCUUCUGGUACGUGCAAUAUCCCGGAGAGACCCUCCGGAUGCUCCUGCGGGACCUGGGCAGGCAGGACUCAGACGAAGGGAUCCGAAAAGGGUUCAGUGCCGCCCACGAGAAAGAGAACAAAUCCUUCCACCUCUGGAAAGCGUCCGUCGACCUGAGCGACUCCGCCACCUAUUACUGCGCAGGGAGUGACACAGUGACACCGGCCGGCAGCAGCGCCGCGCAAAAACCGCGCAGAGGAUGA
Molecule: non-coding RNA, 408 nt
Organism: Pelodiscus sinensis (Chinese soft-shelled turtle)
Lineage: Eukaryota; Metazoa; Chordata; Testudines; Trionychidae
Source: the annotation of a RefSeq genome assembly